CUACGGGUUGCUGCAGUGAGGAAUAUUGCACAAUGGGGGGAACCCUGAUGCAGCGACGCCGCGUGGAGGAUGACGCAUUUCGGUGUGUAAACUCCUUUUAUAUGUCAAGAAAAUGACGGUAGCAUAUGAAUAAGCACCGGCUAACUCCGUGCCAGCAGCCGCGGCAAUACGGAGGGUGCAAGCGUUACUCGGAAUCACUGGGCGUAAAGGACGCGUAGGCGGGUUGGAAAGUCAGGUGUGAAAUCCUACAGCUUAACUGUAGAACUGCACUUGAAACUUCUAAUCUAGAGUAUGGGAGGGGGAGAUGGAAUUAGUGGUGUAGGGGUAAAAUCCGUAGAUAUCACUAGGAAUACCUAAAGCGAAGGCGAUCUCCUGGAACAUUACUGACGCUAAGGCGUGAAAGCGUGGGGAGCAAACAGGAUUAGAUACCCGGGUAGUC
This 439-nucleotide ribosomal RNA is filed under the name uncultured bacterium. RNAcentral describes it as "partial 16S ribosomal RNA". It matches the Rfam family "Bacterial small subunit ribosomal RNA", at positions 339 to 795 of the family's 1533-position model. The record is from RNAcentral.